RNAcentral lists this ribosomal RNA (425 nucleotides) under uncultured bacterium. RNAcentral describes it as "partial 16S ribosomal RNA". It matches the Rfam family "Bacterial small subunit ribosomal RNA", at positions 354 to 796 of the family's 1533-position model. The record is from RNAcentral.
GUGAGGAAUAUUGGGCAAUGGGGGAAACCCUGACCCAGCGACGCCGCGUGAGGGAAGAAGGUCUUCGGAUUGUAAACCUCUGUCUUCGGGGACGAUAAUGACGGUACCCGGGGAGGAAGCCACGGCUAACUACGUGCCAGCAGCCGCGGUAAAACGUAGGUGGCAAGCGUUGUCCGGAAUUACUGGGUGUAAAGGGAGCGCAGGUGGGGCUGUAAGUCGAAUGUGAAAUCUAUGGGCUCAACUCAUAAAUUGCGUUCGAUACUAUAGUUCUUGAGUGGAGUAGAGGCAGGCGGAAUUCCCGGUGUAGCGGUGGAAUGCGUAGAUAUCGGGAGGAACACCAGUGGCGAAGGCGGCCUGCUGGGCUUUAACUGACACUGAGGCUCGAAAGCGUGGGUAGCAAACAGGAUUAGAUACCCGAGUAGUCC